GAAAGGGGCAUGCUGCUCCAGGAGGGUCCACAUGGGGAAACACCAGGAUUGGUCAGGACCAGAGAGGAAGGGGUGAGCUGUGGGCAGGGGCCUUCAUCAUGGUGUCUGUGGGAGGAACAGCCUGGAGGGAUCACAAAUGGAACACCUCCAGUGGCCAUCUUUCCCACCAUGCAGAAAGAGCCUGCCUGGGAGUGAAAUAAUGGAGAAGGAAGCCAGCUCAGAGAGGCAGGAGAGAGCUCAGUGACCAGCAGGAGGUUCCCCCAAGCCUGGACUUUAAGCAAAGUUUCUGAUGUUUAUGACAGGAAGACUCUAAAAUAUACGGCUUAAAAUCAUCUUUCCCCUCCUUGUUACGCACAGCUCUUCCAUAUUUGGGGCCAAGGCUUUAUAAACACAGGCUGGUACAACGUCGGGGCACUGAAAUAAUAAACAAAUAUUCACAGGCA
Bos taurus (domestic cattle) is the source of this 443-nucleotide long non-coding RNA. The record is from Ensembl. Lineage: Eukaryota; Metazoa; Chordata; Mammalia; Artiodactyla; Bovidae.